CGGUAACAGCUUCUAGAGUGGGUGAUAUACAGAAUCAAAUAAAAAUCGAAGGGGACAUCCGCUCCAUUGACCCCUUCGCCGGAUCGCUCUUUCGUCACUUGGGCUUCAUCAAAUAUGGACUCUGUGAACAUGGGUGAUCCUAAAAAUUCCAUAACACCAGGCGGGGAGGAGUCAGUGUCUUGAGAAGUCUCGGCCAUCACCCAUGCGCCACCCUCAAGCACUUGAGGGAGACUAGUAUCUAUCGUUUCCCCGUCGGCUUCCACCUGCCCCUCCGAACAAACGACUCGCG
This 289-nucleotide long non-coding RNA is filed under the name Nicotiana benthamiana. Its description in RNAcentral is "long non-coding RNA (NBEN_LNC039181)". The record is from RNAcentral. Lineage: Eukaryota; Viridiplantae; Streptophyta; Magnoliopsida; Solanales; Solanaceae.